CCUACGGGAGGCAGCAGUAAGGAAUAUUGGUCAAUGGACGCAAGUCUGAACCAGCCAUGCCGCGUGAAGGAUUAAGGCCCUCUGGGUUGUAAACUUCUUUUAUAGGGGACGAAAAAAGGGCAUUCUUGCUCACUUGACGGUACCCUAGGAAUAAGCACCGGCUAACUCCGUGCCAGCAGCCGCGGUAAUACGGAGGGUGCAAGCGUUAUCCGGAUUUACUGGGUUUAAAGGGUGCGUAGGUGGGUUGGUAAGUCAGUGGUGAAAUCUUCGAGCUUAACUCGGAAACUGCCAUUGAUACUAUCAAUCUUGAAUCAUCUAGAGGUAAGCGGAAUAUGUCAUGUAGCGGUGAAAUGCUUAGAUAUGACAUAGAACACCAAUUGCGAAGGCAGCUUACUAUGGAUGUAUUGACACUGAGGCACGAAAGCGUGGGGAUCAAACAGGAUUAGAUACCCUGGUAGUCCACGCCCUAAACGAUGGAUACUCGACAUUUGUGAUAUACUAUAAGUGUCUGAGCGAAAGCAUUAAGUAUCCCACCUGGGAAGUACGACCGCAAGGUUGAAACUCAAAUGAAUUGACGG
Molecule: ribosomal RNA, 578 nt
Filed under: uncultured bacterium
Lineage: Bacteria
Description: bacterial SSU rRNA
Rfam family: Bacterial small subunit ribosomal RNA
Source: RNAcentral